Molecule: unclassified non-coding RNA, 171 nt
Filed under: soil metagenome
Description: partial contains 5.8S ribosomal RNA, internal transcribed spacer 2, and large subunit ribosomal RNA
Source: RNAcentral
AACCUAGCACACCUGCGGUGUGUACCUGCGGAGGGAUCAUUAAUAAAUGUUACUUCGGUAACUUAAUUAAUCCCUAACACCUGUGCAUCUUGUCGCUUCGGCGUCAUUUUAUAAACAUCAGUGUAAUGAAUGUAAAGUAUUAUAACAAAUACAACUUUUAACAAUGGAUCU